GAGUUUCAAUGAUGUAAAAUAAAUCUUACCUACAUUAUCUGAUCAUACCAAUUAUGAUAGAAGAUAAUAACUCUGAGAAACUC
Homalodisca vitripennis (glassy-winged sharpshooter) is the source of this 83-nucleotide small nucleolar RNA. RefSeq annotates it as small nucleolar RNA SNORD34. Lineage: Eukaryota; Metazoa; Arthropoda; Insecta; Hemiptera; Cicadellidae. The record is from RefSeq and is a predicted model, not a curated record. The transcript has a single exon.